CCCAGACUCCUACGGGAGGCAGCAGUGGGGAAUAUUGCACAAUGGGGGGAACCCUGAUGCAGCGACGCCGCGUGAGUGAAGAAGUAUUUCGGUAUGUAAAGCUCUGUCAGCAGGGAAGAAGAAAGACGGUACCUGACCAAGAAGCCCCGGCUAACUACGUGCCAGCAGCCGCGGUAAUACGUAGGGGGCAAGCGUUAUCCGGAUUUACUGGGUGUAAAGGGGGCGCAGACGGCAGCGCAAGCCAGGAGUGAAAGCCCGGGGCCCAACCCCGGGACUGCUCUUGGAACUGCGCGGCUGGAGUGCAGGAGGGGCAGGCGGAAUUCCUGGUGUAGCGGUGAAAUGCGUAGAUAUCAGGAGGAACACCGGUGGCGAAGGCGGCCUGCCGGACUGCGACUGACGUUGAGGCCCGAAAGCGUGGGGAGCAAACAGGAUUAGAUACCCGCGUAUG
This 448-nucleotide ribosomal RNA is filed under the name uncultured bacterium. RNAcentral's name for it is "bacterial SSU rRNA". It matches the Rfam family "Bacterial small subunit ribosomal RNA", at positions 330 to 793 of the family's 1533-position model. The record is from RNAcentral.